AGAUCAGACUUUGUGUGUAACUCCACUAGCCUACCAGGGUGCCUCUCAUAAAGAUGAAUUUCUUCCUCUGCUGAGUGCUCUAAAGACUCACUCCUUGGCACUCAGGGCCGUGGACAGGAGCUUUUUACUCACCAAUGAAGAACACCAAAUUAACACGACCCCCGUGCUGCCCUGAGGAAGUUGAAGCUCCUCGCUGCUUCUGGCACUUCAGCGGGAAGUUGGUUGGGGCGGGAUCGCGCGCCCUCUGGUGGCGCCAUGGUUCAGCACAGACGCUCUUGCUCACAGUUUCGCGGCGGAUGUGCGCCCCCUCCUGGCUGUCCUGAAAUACCUAUAAAAUUCAAUAUUCAGUUUAUUCAGUGUCAUAAUUUUGGAAAUUCAAACCGAAAUAAAGGCCAGUAUAUCCAUACCCUUCCCAU
Molecule: long non-coding RNA, 416 nt
Organism: Homo sapiens (human)
Lineage: Eukaryota; Metazoa; Chordata; Mammalia; Primates; Hominidae
Source: Ensembl